This 400-nucleotide long non-coding RNA is filed under the name Elaeis guineensis (African oil palm). RNAcentral's name for it is "long non-coding RNA (EGUI_LNC036112)". Lineage: Eukaryota; Viridiplantae; Streptophyta; Magnoliopsida; Arecales; Arecaceae. The record is from RNAcentral.
GAAUGGAUCAUGUUCAAGAUUCGAUCCGGAGACCGAUAUUUUUCAAAAGAAUCCAAAGACAAUCUCAAUUUAGGGAUCAAUAUAGUAUCGUACCAGUUCGAGACUGGUGUAAGAUCACUUCGAAUUAGGGUUGUCGGCAUAAGGCUUAUUGGUUGAUGGGGGGAUCAAGCCCUUCGGGUUAUAUCGGACUAAAAUUUGAAUCAAUGCUUGCGCCCUUCGAGGUUGUACUGGAUCGAAAUCUGGUUUAAUAUUUAUGCCCUUCCGAGCUUUACUAAUUCAGAGAUUGGGUUUAGAAAAUCUUAUCUCCAUUCGUGCCUCUCAGGGCUGUACCAUACUAAAAUUUGGAUGAAUAUUUGUGUCCUUCGGGGCUUUACCGGACUGAAGACCAAAUCUUGAUAAA